CGACACCUAAAAUGGCCGACACGUGAAAAUUGGAUAUCAUUCGACUCGGCAUGACCCACCCAAUCUAAAGAGACCAGUUUUGUUAUUUUUGGCCAAACCAUUCAGAAGUUCUGUGCAAAAAUAUGCAUUUUUCGUAUCUCCUGACCACUAGGGGGCACUGCAGCGAAACACUGCAGGUAGCCUCAGGCUAUGCUUGUUACAACAUACACCAAGUUUGGUCUCAAUACGCUAAACCGUUGCGGAGAUAUAGCCUCAUAACUAUUUUUGCGUGUUUUUUCUUGAAUUCAUUUGCGUGUUAUUCCAGAAAGUUUUGAAUAAUCAACUUGAAUUCCAUAACUUUUUGCCAGCAUGGUCUUAAGAUGAUCUGAGCUCAUUUUGGUGAGAGUCGGACUAACCGUCUAGGAAGAGAUAGAAAAAGUAAUUUUUUCGAAUAUCUAAAAAUAGAAAAAAAACUAAACCUUGCGAUUUUUGAAUUUUGGGGUUCAAUCGACUUGGCAUGAACCAAGGAUUCAGAGAAAAAUAUAAUGUUCCUUAUGUACCUUAUGGUUCAAACGUUAUUAGCAGACAUUUUUUGAAAGUUUGGACAAAUGGUGGCGCUAGAGAGCUGGAGUUAGAGACUUUAAAUUUGCGAUGGUUAAUGUUGACACUGUCCUCUAUGAGUGUGCCAAAUUUCACAACUUUCCCGCAGUCGGUUCUAUGGGCUGCCAUAGACUUGCGGCGGAAGCGGAAGAAUAAUAAUAAUAAAUAUAGCUGCAAGCAGCAAUUACGGGGCCAAGCACUCCAGAGGCAAAUUGAGGAGCUAAGCAUGGCAUGGACCAUCAGACCAAAUGCAGAAAGGAGUAACUGAAGCCAUUUUAGGAUGAUUGUAAUUGAAAUGGCGGAAAAAUCAUAAAUACAAGCACUAGUAUUAUGAUUAAAUGGCUUAUCACUUUUGACCAACAGGUGGCGCUGUAAUCAAAUCAUUUUGGUGUGUUCUGUGUGAGGUGACAAUGGCACACACAAAGUUUGGUGUCAGUAUGCCAAAGCAUUGCAGAGAUACAGGCUGAAGUGUCAUUUUGGCAUCAUGCCUGAAAUUCGUCGCUGUGGUAUGCGAAAACGGUUUUGUCUAUCGAUACAAAAUCCAUAACAUUUUGUCAGCACAGUCUGAAGAUCAUCUGAUUCAAUUUUGGUGAAAAUCGGACCAACGGUUGAUGAGGAGUUCGAAAAAGUAGGUUUUCAACAUGAAUCAAAAUGGCGGACAGGAAGUAUGGCCAAUUUUGGCAUAAUUGGUAUGGAUGUUCGCGGCAUGACCCAAAGAAUAUAGGGAGGCCAUUUUCAUUUCAAUAGUCUAAUUUAUUCAAAAGUUAUUAGCAUUUUUUAGAUAUUUCAUUAUAACUUUUGACCACAAGGUGGCGCUGCCCCCAAACUUUUUGAGUAGCUUCAGGGCAUGGAGCCAAACAUUUUUGUAAUUAUUUUCGUAACGAUACGAUAAUGCGUUCAAAAAAUACAGCAUGUUGAAACAUAAUUCAAAAUGGCCGACACCUAAAAUGGCUGACACGGGAAAAUUGGAUAUCAUUCGACUCGGCAUGACCCACCGAAUACAAAGAGACCAGUUUUGUGAUUUUUGGCAAAACCAUUCAGAAGUUAUAAGCAAAAAUAUGCAUUUUUCAUAUCUCCUGACCACUAGGUGGCGCUGCGUCGAAACACUGCAAGUAGUCUCAGGUCAUGCUUGUUAUAACACACACCAAGUUUGGUCUCAAUACGCCAAACCGUUGUGGAGUUAUAGCCUCACAAGCAUUUUUGCGUGCUUUUCGUAGAAUUUUUUCGCAUGGUAUUCAAAAACGGUUGGACGAAUCAACUUGAAUUCCAUAACUUUUUGUCGUCAUUGUCUGAAGAUGAUCUGAGCCAAUUUUCGUGAAAAACGGACUAACCGUCUAGGACGAGUUCGAAAAAGUAGGUUUUUCAAACAAUUGAAACUAGCGAAAAAACUAAACCUUGCGAUUUUUGAAUUUCGGGGUUCAUUCGACUCGGCAUGAGCCAAGGAUUCAGAGGAAAAAAGAAUUUUCAUUUUCUGGCUUACGGUUCAAAAGUUAUUAGCAUAAAAAUAUUGAAAUUUUGGACAAGUGGUGGCGCUAGAGAGUUGGAGUUAGAGACUUCAAAUUUGCUAUAGUUAAUGCUGGGACUGUCCUCUAUCAGUGUGCCAAAUUAUACAACUUUCCCGCAAUCG
Molecule: long non-coding RNA, 2206 nt
Organism: Cyprinus carpio carpio
Lineage: Eukaryota; Metazoa; Chordata; Actinopteri; Cypriniformes; Cyprinidae
Source: Ensembl